Molecule: ribosomal RNA, 497 nt
Filed under: uncultured bacterium
Lineage: Bacteria
Description: partial 16S ribosomal RNA
Rfam family: Bacterial small subunit ribosomal RNA
Source: RNAcentral
GACGAACGCUGGCGGCGUGCCUAAUACAUGCAAGUUGAGCGCUGAAGGUUGGUACUUGUACCAACUGGAUGAGCAGCGAACGGGUGAGUAACGCGUGGGGAAUCUGCCUUUGAGCGGGGGACAACAUUUGGAAACGAAUGCUAAUACCGCAUAAAAACUUUAAACACAAGUUUUAAGUUUGAAAGAUGCAAUUGCAUCACUCAAAGAUGAUCCCGCGUUGUAUUAGCUAGUUGGUGAGGUAAAGGCUCACCAAGGCGAUGAUACAUAGCCGACCUGAGAGGGUGAUCGGCCACAUUGGGACUGAGACACGGCCCAAACUCCUACGGGAGGCAGCAGUAGGGAAACUUCGGCAAUGGACGAAAGUCUGACCGAGCAACGCCGCGUGAGUGAAGAAGGUUUUCGGGUCGUAAAACUCUGUUGGUAGAGAAGAACGUUGGUGAGAGUGGAAAGCUCAUCAAGUGACGGUAACUACCCAGAAAGGGACGGCUAACUACGUG